Rhopilema esculentum is the source of this 2685-nucleotide long non-coding RNA. RefSeq lists it as uncharacterized. The record is from RefSeq and is a predicted model, not a curated record. NCBI's taxonomy places the organism in Eukaryota, Metazoa, Cnidaria, Scyphozoa, Rhizostomeae, Rhizostomatidae.
GCAAAAACGAUCUUUUAGGUGGGGGCUUAUUCGGGGGGGGGGGGCUUAUUCAAGCGUGGGGGCUUAUUCGAGGAUUUACGAUAAUUCUGUUUUGUUGAUUUUUAAAGAGUUUUUUCGACGGUCUUGAACUCAGGCUAGCAAAAUGACAAGGAAUGAUGGCCAAAUGAAUGACUUAGCUGUGCUGAGGUAUUGGAAAUGUUGUAGCUAAAAAAGAUGACUUUAGUAAUGUUAUUGAUGCUUUUGACUUUAGAAAACUGGUACUGUAAAGGCUUUGAAAAUCAAUGGGCAACAGUUUGAAUAAAAUAUGUCGGAGAGACUCCCUUUUAAUUGCCACGUAGCUAAUUUUUGUCUGAGUUUGUAGCACCGCAUUCAUAUCUAUUUUAUAUAAACAGAACCCCAGGCCGGCGGCUCCCGAGAAGGUUUUAGAAAAAGUGAAAAUUUUAACCACGCUACCAUGCUACAUAUAAAGGUCAUUUUAGCUUUCAAUUUUAGAACAAGGGUAUUUCCAGGAACGAAAAUAUGGCGUGGUCAAAAAAGCUUUUAUGGUCUUCGCUGCAAAUUGGGGCCCCGUGAUACAUUUUGCCCCGGGUCCGUCCCGCCUAGCAGCGACGCUAGAGAAAAUGUUUCAUAAUGAUACCAAUACAAGAUAAGCUUGGGGAGGAUGCGCCAUUAGAGCAGAUUUGUGGACUGCAAAUGUCUAACCUCGCCUUCAAGGAUGCAUUGAUCUUGUAGCAGCAGAAACCAUAUAUCAUGAAAACUGCCUUUAACGUUUCAUACUAGGCAAAGAUUUACAAAUACCAGAGAAGUCCUUAAUAGACAGAAUUGAUCUAUUUGUGAAAUUGUUCGAAGUUAGUACUCUCAUUCAUAAUUAAGAAUUUUCAAUAAUUUUGUCCACGCAAAUACCCGUUUAGCUUCAAAAUUCAGAACCUACGCCUUGAAUUCUUGCAAGCUACUCAUAUUUUACAGAAUAUCUCGGUAGUUGGUAAUAUCCAUCUGCUCGCACAAUAUUGUGCAUAUGGUCAAAAAGCUCAUGUUUUUAAAAUCUCCAUAAAUUUGAUUUCCCAAAUUUUAGAUAUGCUAUAGGGCCAGAGAAACAUGUGGAUAUUCGUUAGGUCGUCUUAAUGCUCUUGAAGACGGAUCUAGGGACGGCGAAACGUAUUUUAAAGUGGGGUAAAAUAUAUUGUGUUUGCACUAAAAAAGGCCGCCACAGGUUGGCGGCAAGAAAUAUUCUAAAUUACGAUAAACUAGAGAUGGCCAGAAACUGCGUCUAAAAUAGAAUUUGACGGGAGAAAAGCUAACGGUUCCAUAGUUUUGUAUAUUUUAAUGUUGACAUUUGAAGAAAGGAUCUUUCAGAGUUUUAGAAUUAUCUUAGCAUAACAGCGAAUAAUCAGCCUUUUUACAAAUGAAUGAAACCAAAAUAAGAUGGAGAGAAAAUAUGAAUAAAACACAGUUUGGCAAUAAAGCAUUAGCCAGUGCCACACACGCUGCCUUUGGCAAUAAAGCAUUAGCCAGUGCCACACACGCUGCCUCAUACACAUACAAUAAUAAGCAUGAACAUCAUGAACUAAAGAUUAAGUCUGGCCUUUUGGCCUGGGAUCUCAGAAAGCUGAGGAAGGGGUAAGUAAGGUCAUGGUGAGUUUAUCAACAACCUAUUUAAUUGAAUGAAAGCAGUAAAAUAGUUUGCUAAAAAAUGUUUAAAUGAUUAAAUAAAGCAUGUCCUAUUUUCGUACUCCGUUUCGGACCAAUUACUUGUCAACGGGACGCACAUUUUCAUUUACUGCAGAGGAAAUAAAUAUCAGAGCAGUCCAAAAGUAAAACCUAAUCGAAUUCAAAAUUUUCAAAGUGAAAGCCAAAAUUUUUUUUUUGAGAUAAAGCGCUCGGCGGGCCGGAUAAAAACUUUCUGCGGGUCGGAGUUGGCCCGCGGGCCGGAUUUUAUGAAUGGCUGUUACAGAGAAAUGAAUUCUAUGUAAAAUGAUGUUCGUUUUGCUUUUCUACUAAUUUUUUCGUGGUUCAUCACCUCAAUGACUACACUUAAUACGGGUUGUUUUUAGAAAAUCUAUCAAAAUUGUCAAGCUGUCGGUGGUUUCCACGCGGCAAGAUAUCCGUUUCUAAUAUGGCUUAAAUUCUAAAUUCUGAUUUUGUAUGAUUUUGUAAGUUCCUUAAAGAAUGACACGUGAGCAUGGUACGAUGUCAAAUGAUCGAAUAUGUCGUGUUAAGUUCACGUUGUGUUCAUUAUUGUCUCUCUACUGGAGAAGUGACUUAAAAAAUUUGAAGACUAGAAAACGUCAAUUUACCGAUUAGAAAGAGUUAUCAAAAAAGCUUAAAAUGACUGAUCCUUACAAAGGCCAUACAUUUUGAACUCCAAAAAAUACAUUACUUUGGUUGUCGCGUCAACGAUUGAUCUUUUUAUUGGUGAAUUCAUGCUUUACAUGGUAAUCUGCAUCAAUGGCCACCCUGUCGAUUGGACGCGGUCUCCGUCCUGGUCGCAAGAAAAAGAAAUAAUUUCUAUUUUUAAGAUGUAUCCCUGACUAUUUGGUAUAGCCCCAGAUGGCAAGAAAAAGUGGACUUGGAUUUCAUAGAACCAUUUGAUGCAUUUCAUAUUCCUCAAGCACUCAAAUCAAACACAAUCUAAACGGCCAAGGGAGCUGUCUCGCCCUAUUGUAUAAGUUUGCUGUUACUACGUAC